GAUAAACGCUGGCGGCGCACAUAAGACAUGCAAGUCGAACGGACUUAACCCAUUCUUCACGAUUGGGAGCGGUUAGUGGCGGACUGGUGAGUAACGCGUGAGCAACCUGCCUAUUAGAGGGGAAUAACAAUGAGAAAUCAUUGCUAAUACCGCAUAUGCUUACAGCAACACAUGUUGCAGUGAGGAAAGGAGCAAUCCGCUAAUAGAUGGGCUUGCGUCUGAUUAGCUAGUUGGUGGGGUAACGGCCUACCAAGGCGACGAUCAGUAGCCGGACUGAGAGGUUGAACGGCCGCAUUGGGACUGAGAUACGGCCCAGACUCCUACGGGAGGCAGCAGUCGGGAAUAUUGCGCAAUGGAGGAAACUCUGACGCAGUGACGCCGCGUAUAGGAAGAAGGUUUUCGGAUUGUAAACUAUUGUCAUUAGGGAAGAUAAAAGACUGUACCUAAGGAGGAAGCCCCGGCUAACCGUAUGUGCCAGCAGCCGACGG
Molecule: ribosomal RNA, 488 nt
Filed under: uncultured bacterium
Lineage: Bacteria
Description: bacterial SSU rRNA
Rfam family: Bacterial small subunit ribosomal RNA
Source: RNAcentral